Molecule: long non-coding RNA, 1384 nt
Organism: Arachis stenosperma
Lineage: Eukaryota; Viridiplantae; Streptophyta; Magnoliopsida; Fabales; Fabaceae
Exons: 6
Source: RefSeq, a predicted model, not a curated record
UUCUUAUCCCUAAAUGAAAUUGAAAAAUGGAGAGAGAGACUGAAAAAGGAACAGAAGUAUCGACACUGGGUUAAUUCGUGUGCUUUCCUCCAUCGCCGAUCACCACUGUCGUAACCGUUGCCAUCGCCGACAGUCGCCGUCCAUCAUCCUACUCCUUGGACCUCAUUUCCAUCCAAUCCACCUCAGAUCCGCAUCACUGUCAUCGUUUGUUCAUCUCAGAUUUAUGUCGCUAAGGUCUUCCAGCCACCAUUACUGCUCUUGUUACAACACCACACCUCCGUCGCUUGUACCGCCGCCGUUCUUGCAUGUAGAUGCACAAGAUCGCCGCUGUCGGUUCAAGCAGAGGCCUCCUCUACCUUGGAAAGAAAUCAAUUACUCGUUAUAAUCCUCUUAAAAGGAGAGAGGUUUGCAAGGGAGGAAGAGAAGGUGGCAAGAAAUCAGCCUAAUCACAAGCCUCCACCAAGGCUUCUUCAGCACUGAAAUCUCACUCUUAUCCUACUCGAUGAAAUGAAGUGCGGUCUGCAAAUGCUGCUGCAAGUCAAGCUGCAAAGAGGCCCUCUUCUUUUGGUGGCCCUACUCAUGAUAAAAAGGUGUAUGUCUUUUUUUUUCUUUUUCUUUUUUUUUUACAAUCUAAAUUUUAUGAAAGCAAUAGUAAAGUGUAUUUAUCUUGACUAAUUCAAAAUCAAUGUCGAUAACUGAGCUAAAGCUAUCCAUUGAUAGACUCGAGAAGGAGCACGAUUUCUACUUUGCAAAAUUGAGGAAAGUGUAAUGUGGUGGGAAGUUCAAUGCUUUAAUGUAUUCAUUCAUUUAUCACUCUAACAUAAGUGAUAUGUUAUUUGAUACUGCUUUGUAUAAUGUAUUCAUUCAUUUAUCAUUCUAAUAACUUGUGACUUGGAAGACAUGUCUUAGAAUUUGAAAUCUCACAAGCAUUCCAAGGAAAAACCUGAUAAGGGGCCUUGCAAAAAUUGUUCCCGCUCUUGCUGCUGGAAACUCCAUUGUGCUCAAGCCUCCAACUCAGCUUCACUUGUGGAGACACCGGCAUUGCAAUUUCAAAGAAGGCAAUGGAGUUGGGAGGAAAAGAUGCAUGCAAUGUAUUUGAGGAUGCUGAUCUUGAUCUUGGUUCCUUAAAACUCAAGGAUAUAACGGUAGCCAUGAUGAAUUAAGAUAUGAACCCUACCCAUACACUCAACUUGCACAAGUGGAAGGAGACCAUAACCGAGUCGCUGAGAUAUUAGUUAAUUUAUUAAUGAAUGUAUAUACUUACACAAGCUUAUAGGCUUGGAGUAUUUUUUGUUAUUUAGAUUUGUAUCAUGAUUUAUUACUUUUCAAAAGAAAUUUAUGUAUUAAUAUUUUGAGUUUAAUGAAAUAUCUCAUUUUGUAGUAA